This 26-nucleotide non-coding RNA is filed under the name Homo sapiens (human). The record is from RNAcentral. Lineage: Eukaryota; Metazoa; Chordata; Mammalia; Primates; Hominidae.
UGACACCAAAUGUGGGAGUGUGUGUC